AAUAUGUUUUUAUUAAGAAGAAAGGGAUUAGUUUUUAUUAGAUAUAAAAAAAUAUAUAUUUUAUGCACACGCUAAAAAUUGGCCAUCAAAACAAAAAAAAAUCAAUUUCCUUUUAAUGAAUUUAUUGAAUCAAAACCAUGCAAUAUCAUUUCCUUUCUAACAGUGAAAUUCUUCUUUUUCAUAGGGACAUAUUUGAUAGGUGUAGCUUCACCCUAUCACAUCAAAUGAGAAUAGCCUCGUGAGCGAAUUACGAUUCGCUUGUCCCUUGUUAGUUAUUGUCGCUUCGUCACUAAAUUAAACUUCUUGUCGCUGUUUGUCUCUAAAAUUCUUCUUGUCUCUUAUUAGUGAGACCAGUCAGUUCCGUCCUUAACUUCCGUUUUUGCACUGCAAAACAAUCACACAAUUAACGAUGCCUAGUCCUUGUUGGUGUGUACCUGAGUGUCAUUUAAGAGGAGGACUUGCAUUUCUAAAUGACUUAAUAAGAAGGAAAAGUUAGAUCAACGCCAUGGCUCAAACGUAGAUUGUCAUGUGCGAUGCAAUCGUAGAACCCAUAUCAAUCAGCUGUUGUUUGCAAGGCACAUUUUACUGAAAACGACUACGUUCAGGAAACUAUUCAUGGGCACAUACCCACUUUAUAGAGACUUGUCUACUGUCAUGCAUUCCCAUCCUAUUUUCAUGCACCAUUUGUAAGCAAGAGACUGAAUGGUUUACAAAAUUAAAAAUCAGGACGGUGUCCCGUUAAACCAAAAGAACUAAACUGGAUGAAUAUUUUAGGAGAAAUCUAGAGGAAAGUUUUGAUUUGUGAAAUUGGUUUUCCUGAACAGAUGUACAUUCAUCCUGCAGGAAAGAUUUAUAACUGUCCACCACCAACUGACGAGCUAAUGUUGAGCUUCACAGAUGGAAUUACUCAAACAUCAUAAAUGCCUAUGUUUUCAGCACAGAUUUCACAAAUCAUGACACAGCUGUGCAUUUUUAUGCCCCACCUACGAUAGUAGGGGGGCAUUAUGUUUUCUGGUCUGUGCGUCCGUUCGUCUGUUCGUCCGUUCGUCCAUCCGUCUGUCCCUCUUCAGGUUAAAGUUUUUGGUCAAGGUAGUUUUUGAUGAAGUUGAAGUCCAAUCGACUUCAAACUUGGUACACAUGUUCCCUAUGAUAUGAUCUUUUUAAUUUUAAUGCCAAAUUAGAGUUUUUACCCCAAUGUCACGGUCCACUGAACAUGGAAAAUGAUAGUGCGAGUGGGGCAUUCGUGUACUGGGGACACAUUCUUGUUUAUACCUGAUAAGAGUCGAAAACUAAAUAUUAUUUUUAUAUAAAUAAACAUAUAUUGUGUCAUUUUAGAACUUAUAUUUUUCCAAAGGAUGCAUGAAUGAAAGUAGUGAAAUUCAUUUUGCUUUGAUAUAUAGAUUUGAAUUACAAUUGUUCAUGUUAAUAUUGUAAUGCAUAUAAAAAUAAGGAGAUGUGGCACAAUGUAAAUAUAUGAUAUUCUGUGAGUUUAUCAAACUAAAGGGGAUUAGAAAUGGGUAUAAGCAGUUACAGGACUGUACUACUGUACAAUCUCCAACAAUGAGAAAAACUCAUACUGUAAAGAGAAUUUCAUAUUUACAAGUAAGUUUUGUUUUUGCAUUGAAUAAUUUUCUUCUAUUGUCUUAAAAGCAAAUAUGGGAAGUGGUUAAAAUGCUAAUGAGACAGCUUUUAUGGCCACCAGAUGUCAUUGUUACCUUGAUUAAAAACUCCUUUAUAGCUCACCUGACCUGACUCAUCACUUGGUUUCGUCGUCCAUAAACUUUUACAAAAAAUCUUCUCUGAAACUACUGUGCCAAAUUUAACCAAACUUAGCCAAAAUCAUCAUUGCGGUAUCUAAUUUAAAAAAUGUGUGGUUAGACCCGGUCAACCAACCGUGA
Mytilus trossulus (common blue mussel) is the source of this 1898-nucleotide long non-coding RNA. RefSeq lists it as uncharacterized. The record is from RefSeq and is a predicted model, not a curated record. NCBI's taxonomy places the organism in Eukaryota, Metazoa, Mollusca, Bivalvia, Mytilida, Mytilidae. The transcript is spliced from 2 exons.